UAAAACCAUUAUUCAACCUUUGAUGAAAUCCGACGUGAAAACCUAAAGAAAAUCAGAUUCGCUUGAAGAACGAGCAGCUUGAAAUUCCCAACUCCUUCGAAUCUCGACAAAUUAUUGUCGAAGAGGAAAAAUGGUAGAGAACUACCCAUACUGUGUGUAUAAGUAGAUUGCUCGAAUUAUUAUGUGAAAAUCCGCAUUCAUUGGAUUGUUUGAGGCUAAAACCAAUCGGAGCUUUUGCAUUUUCAGGUCAAUUUAUUUGUUUUGUUCUCGUAUGGUAUGAGUAAUGUAUCUAUCGUAUUUACGUAAUGGGUUUUUUGAAAUGAAAUUUUUUUAGAUUGAGUAGGAGUUUAGUGACGUGGGCAAUGGCGCCUCCGCUAAUUCUUGCUUUAGAAUUGCCAUCGGAGACGGGUCGGGUUCUCAGUAUUCAAUCUCACACUGUUCAGGUGCUUCUUGUUUAUUAAUUC
RNAcentral lists this long non-coding RNA (464 nucleotides) under Olea europaea subsp. europaea. Lineage: Eukaryota; Viridiplantae; Streptophyta; Magnoliopsida; Lamiales; Oleaceae. The record is from RNAcentral.